This 978-nucleotide long non-coding RNA is filed under the name Malus domestica (apple). RNAcentral describes it as "long non-coding RNA (MDOM_LNC019891)". Lineage: Eukaryota; Viridiplantae; Streptophyta; Magnoliopsida; Rosales; Rosaceae. The record is from RNAcentral.
UGUUUGGAUGGGAAAGUUCAUUUAUGAACUCUCUAUUCGGUUCCAACCAGAAAGUGUAUGACACUAAUGGGGUGAUAGCUCAAGCCAGGGAAUCAAGGUCUCAUCAAGGUCCGAACUCAAAUGAGAGACUGAACCACAUGAUUGAGAAUCAUGUAUAAUGGUGACGUCGUUAUUCUCAAGGUUGCUUCUAUGGAUAACAUAUAGAUAUCCAUUGUCUAGGCCUACUACUCAGCCAUUUAUGAAAUGACUAUAGAAGAGGUAUCAUCACUGAUGAACAAGCUGAUUGGCUCUAGUGCAAGUGGGAGAUUGUUGGAAUGUGCCCUAAAACCAAUCAUAUGAUGAUACUUUACGGACAUUUCACAUGUUAAACUAAUCUAGUUUAAUAUCAAGGGCAUAGAUUAUUGUUUUAAGCCGUCUCAUAUAAAUGUUAUAUGCUUAAAUGAUAAGUCCAAGGAAUAUGUGAUUGGGAGAAUACGAUCUAAAGAAGUUAGAUUCAUGAGACCAUUCUUUCGUAGACACAUCUUAAACGUUCCUGAUUAUAGGAUUGUCAAUUGGGCAUUGACAGUCUGUUAAGAUCAGUACGUUCUAUGUCUUCUCUCAGGGAGAGUGACUAGUCUCGAGUCAUUGGUGUGUGUGACAUCAAGACAAGUACGUAGGUGCUCAAUAGAGAAUGAGUUCACUCAACACGAUCAACGAAGAGUUCUCAUAUUCAUGUCACAUGAGAACUCAUGGUUGGGAUAAUGCCAAGUAGUCCUUUGACCUAAGGCAUCACAGCUGUCUUGUGGUUAAGUCCUUGAUCUUUGAUUAUGUCAAAGUCACCCCAUCCGCGGGUGUCCACAGCAUCGUUGGGGUUAAGCUACUUAGCCAUGGAGGCAAGUGAAUGCGCAACAAGGGAUCUCUAACCUUCAAACUGUUUGAGGGAGAAUACUCUAUGAUAUGAUUAAGAAUCUUUGGCCAAAGUAUGAAUGAGAUUUAGGA